GUAAGGAAUAUUGGACAAUGGACGCAAGUCUGAUCCAGCCAUGCCGCGUGAAGGAUUAAGGUCCUCUGGAUUGUAAACUUCUUUUAUAAGGGACGAAAAAAGGCUUUUCUAAGUCGUCUGACGGUACCUUAUGAAUAAGCACCGGCUAACUCCGUGCCAGCAGCCGCGGUAAUACGGAGGGUGCAAGCGUUAUCCGGAUUCACUGGGUUUAAAGGGUGCGUAGGCGGGCAGGUAAGUCAGUGGUGAAAUCCUAGAGCUUAACUCUAGAACUGCCAUUGAUACUAUCUGUCUUGAAUAUUGUGGAGGUAAGCGGAAUAUGUCAUGUAGCGGUGAAAUGCUUAGAUAUGACAUAGAACACCUAUUGCGAAGGCAGCUUACUACGCAUAUAUUGACGCUGAGGCACGAAAGCGUGGGGAGCAAACAGGAUUAGAUACCCUUGUAGUCC
This 445-nucleotide ribosomal RNA is filed under the name uncultured bacterium. Its description in RNAcentral is "partial 16S ribosomal RNA". It matches the Rfam family "Bacterial small subunit ribosomal RNA", at positions 354 to 796 of the family's 1533-position model. The record is from RNAcentral.